UCUCCGUUGGUGAACCAGCGGAGGGAUCAUUACCGAGUUUUUCUACUCCAAAACCCCUGUGAACUUAUACCUUUACUGUUGCUUCGGCGGGUUAACGCCCCGGAAUGCCCAAAAGGCCGCCGGAACCAGGCGCCCGCCUGGGGACCCAAACUCUUGUAUUUCUUACGUUGCAUGUCUGAGUGGAAUCAUAAACAAAUGAAUCAAAACUUUCAACAACGGAUCUCUUGGUUCUG
RNAcentral lists this unclassified non-coding RNA (233 nucleotides) under plant metagenome. RNAcentral describes it as "partial contains small subunit ribosomal RNA, internal transcribed spacer 1, and 5.8S ribosomal RNA". The record is from RNAcentral.